AGACGCCCCAGCUCCGCCGAGAGGCCGCUUGCGCAGGCUCCUUCUUCUUCCGCAAGUGUAGGCAGAGCCCCCGGAGCCAUGGCCAGCCCUUCCCGCAGCUCCGAAGCCACUGGCAAGCCCCGAGGCAGGGAUGGCCGGCCCAGGAGGGAGGAGGACGACGUCCCUCCCGAAGAGAAGAGGCUGCGGCUCUUGCUGGAGGGGGGAAGCGCACAGCCCCAGGACGGCGAGGACGGGGAGGACGCGCCGCGGCCGGGCAGGGUGGAGACCGGCACCCAGACAGGUGGCGACGGCAGAGGAGCACAGUGGCUCACACCUGUAAUCCCAGCACUUUGGCAGGUCGAGGCUGGUGGAUCACCUAAGGUCAGGAGUUCGAGACCAGCCUGGCCAACAUGGCGGAACUGUCUCUACUGAAAAUACAGAAAUUAGCCAGGUGUGAUGGCACACACCUGUAAUCACAGCUGCUUGGGAGGCUGAGGCAGGAGAAUCAUUUGAACCUGGGAGACAGAGGUUGCAGUCAGCCGAGAUCGCACCAAUGCACUUCAGCCAGCCUGGGUGACAGAGUGAGACCCUGUUUCAAAAAUAAAUAAAUAAAUAAAAUAGAAUUCUGAAUUUUAUUUUUAAUAAUUAUUUUCUAAAAAGAAUGUCUUGUUUUCUGGAGCUGUUGAAUUUAUUGAAUUGACAAAAAUUAUGUACAAGAGGGUACAACAUGAUGAGAUUGAAGUAUGUAUACAUUACAAAAUGGCUAGAUCAAGCUAAAUAACAUAUCACCUCCCAGACUUAUUUUUUUAUGGUGAGAACACUUAAAAAAUCUACUCUCUUAGUGAUUUCCAAGUGUAUGAUAUGUUGUUAUUAACUAUAGGUACCAUGUUGUCCCAUGGAUAUCCUGAACUUAUUCUUCUUCUCUAAAAAUGACAUUCUGUGUCCUUUGGCAUCUGCCCACUUCCCCACCCUGGCAACCAUCAUUCUACUCUGCUUCUGUGAACUCAACUUUUUUCUUUUCUUUUUCAUUCUUUUUUUUUUUGAGACAAUCUCAUUCUAUUGCCCAGGCUGUAGUGCAGGGGUGUGAUCUUGGCUCACUGCAGCCUUGAAUUCCCAAGCUCAAUCAAUCCUCCCACCUCGGCCUCCUGAGUAUCUGGGAGUACAGGCAUGCACCACCAUGCUCCACUAAUUUUUGCAUUUUUUUGUAGAGAUGGGGUCUUGCUAUGUUAUGCAGGCUGGUCUCGAACUCCUGGGCUCAAGCAAUCUGCCGGCCUCAGCCUCUCAAAGUGCUGGGAUUACAGGCAUGAGCCACCAUGCCUGGCCGAGUUCAACUUUUUUAGAUUUCACAUAUAAGUGAGAUCAUGUGGUAUUUGUCGUUUUGUGCCUGGCUUAUUUCACUUAACAUAAUAUCCUCCAGGCUCAUCCAUGUUUUCUCAAAUGGCAGGAUUUACUUCUUUUUGAAGGCUGAAUAGUAUUCCAUUGUGUACGUACACUACAUUGUUGCUGGAAGUGUAAUGGAGGCCAGUUGGGGGAGGAGGGGGAAAAGAUUCACUCUAAGUAUAGAUGCUCCAGCACCCACCCAGGUUGUGUGCAAGGAAGUGCAGGAUGCUCCUGGUCUUGCAAACUGUGGUUUGUGGGACUCCAAAGCCCCUAUCCUUCCACAGUGCUUUCUGUCUUGUUAUCACAUUUCCUUGGAGGAGAGCCCAGCCUUGGUGGAGAGCCCUGCUCUGGCUUUGUCCCUCGGCAUGAGAUGGCAGAGGAUGGUGCUGCUGGGAGACCCUCACGUCUGCACACUGGGGGCUGCUUGCCUUCUCCAUUCCUCCUUCAAGUAUCUGAGCAGCUCCUGUGUGCCAGCUGCUGGUCUACAAGAUGGAUGGGUCCUUGGAGAUCACGCUGUAGCAGAGGAGGCAGGCUGUAGCCCACACGCCACAACCAGCCCCCUGCCUGUUCACACAAAUAAAGUUUUAU
This 1947-nucleotide long non-coding RNA is filed under the name Homo sapiens (human). RNAcentral describes it as "non-protein coding LINC00937:15". Lineage: Eukaryota; Metazoa; Chordata; Mammalia; Primates; Hominidae. The record is from RNAcentral.